RNAcentral lists this ribosomal RNA (434 nucleotides) under uncultured bacterium. RNAcentral's name for it is "partial 16S ribosomal RNA". It matches the Rfam family "Bacterial small subunit ribosomal RNA", at positions 29 to 507 of the family's 1533-position model. The record is from RNAcentral.
AGCGAACGCUGGCGGCAGGCCUAAUACAUGCAAGUCGAACGAACCGUUCGGGGUUAGUGGCGGACGGGUGAGUCACCCGUGGGAUCGUGAAUUUAGGGUUGGAAUACCUAUGGGACACGUGUGACAUCAGCGAAUGUGCCCUUCGGGGGGAAGAUAUAUCGCCUUUAGUGCGGCCCGCGUCUGAUUAGCUAGUUGUUUAAGCUAAUGGUUCACCAGGGCGACAUUCAGUAGCUGGUCUGAGAGGAUGUUCAGACACAUUGGGACGGAGACACCGCCCAAACUCCUACGGGAGGCAGCAGUGGCGAACCUUGCACAGUGGGCGAAAGCCUGAAGCAGCCAUGCCGCGUGAAUUAUGAAAUUCUUAAGAUUGUAAAAUUCUUGCACCGGUGACGAUAAUGACGGUACCCGAAGAAGAAGCCCCGGCUAACUACGUG